GUCGAACGAAGCGCUUGGAUGGAAUUCUUCGGAAGGAAGCUCAAGUGACUGAGUGGCGGACGGGUGAGUAACGCGUGGGUAACCUGCCUCAUACAGGGGGAUAACAGUUAGAAAUGACUGCUAAUACCGCAUAAGCACACGUGAUCGCAUGAUCGAGUGUGAAAAACUCCGGUGGUAUGAGAUGGACCCGCGUCUGAUUAGCUAGUUGGUGGGGUAAUGGCCCACCAAGGCGACGAUCAGUAGCCGGCCUGAGAGGGUGGACGGCCACAUUGGGACUGAGACACGGCCCAAACUCCUACGGGAGACAGCAGUGGGGAAUAUUGCACAAUGGGGGAAACCCUGAUGCAGCGACGCCGCGUGAAGGAUGAAGUAUUUCGGUAUGUAAACUUCUAUCAGCAGGGAAGAAAAUGACGGUACCUGACUAAGAAGCCCCGGCUAACUACGUGCCAGCAGCCGCGGUAAUACGUAGGGGGCAAGCGUUAUCCGGAUUUACUGGGUGUAAAGGGAGCGUAGACGGCAGUGCAAGUCUGAAGUGAAAGCCCGGGGCUCAACCCCGGGACUGCUUUGGAAACUGUGCAGCUAGAGUGUCGGAGAGGCAAGCGGAAUUCC
Molecule: ribosomal RNA, 609 nt
Filed under: uncultured Lachnospiraceae bacterium
Lineage: Bacteria; Bacillati; Bacillota; Clostridia; Lachnospirales; Lachnospiraceae
Description: bacterial SSU rRNA
Rfam family: Bacterial small subunit ribosomal RNA
Source: RNAcentral